Molecule: ribosomal RNA, 120 nt
Filed under: uncultured bacterium
Lineage: Bacteria
Description: partial 16S ribosomal RNA
Rfam family: Bacterial small subunit ribosomal RNA
Source: RNAcentral
CACGCCGUAAACGAUGAAUGCUAGGUGUCGGGGGUCACACCUCGGUGCCGCAGUUAACACAUUAAGCAUUCCGCCUGGGGAGUACGCGCGCAAGCGUGAAACUCAAAGGAAUUGACGGGG